Molecule: ribosomal RNA, 270 nt
Filed under: uncultured bacterium
Lineage: Bacteria
Description: partial 16S ribosomal RNA
Rfam family: Bacterial small subunit ribosomal RNA
Source: RNAcentral
AUUGAACGCUGGCGGCAUGCUUAACACAUGCAAGUUGAACGGCAGCAUGAUAUGUAGCAAUACAUAUUGAUGGCGAGUAGCGGACGGGUGAGUAAUACGUAGGAAUCUGCCUUGUGGAAGGGGAUAACUUGGGGAAACCCGAGCUAAUACCGUAUAAGUUCUAAGGAAGAAAGCAUGGGACCGAAAGGCCAUGUGCCAUGAGAUGAGCCUACGUCGGAUUAGCUAGUUGGUGGGGUAAAGGCCUACCAAGGCGAGGAUCCGUAGCUGGUC